This 253-nucleotide ribosomal RNA is filed under the name uncultured bacterium. Its description in RNAcentral is "partial 16S ribosomal RNA". It matches the Rfam family "Bacterial small subunit ribosomal RNA", at positions 524 to 776 of the family's 1533-position model. The record is from RNAcentral.
UACGAGGGUGGCAAGCGUUGUUCGGAUUUACUGGGCGUACAGGGAGCGUAGGCGGUUGGGUAAGCCCUCCGUGAAAUCUCCGGGCCCAACCCGGAAAGUGCGGAGGGGACUGCUCAGAUAGAGGAUGGGAGAGGAGCGCGGAAUUCCCGGUGUAGCGGUGAAAUGCGUAGAGAUCGGGAGGAAGGCCGGUGGCGAAGGCGGCGCUCUGGAACAUUUCUGACGCUGAGGCUCGAAAGCGUGGGGAGCAAACAGG